AUGCUUACAAAGGCGCAAUGGAUCGCCCUGUCGAAAGAAAAGCAAGGCGGAUCUACGAGCAGCGGCAAGAAGAAGGGGAAGGGGAAGCAACGCUCGGCGAGAAAGAACUUCGCCGACUCGGACGACGAGGAUGCGCCUGCACCACCGAGGAGGAAGUUUGACAUCAGAAAAGUGAGGUGUCAUAAGUGUGGCCUCGUCGGUCACUUCAAGACUAACUGCGAGGAAGCACCGAAGCAACGGGCGCUCAUGGCCGAGGAAGGAGACGAUGGGGAUAUGAUGCUAAUGUGCGAGCUAGUGGACGAAGAGGAUCCAGAUGAUCUUGGUCAGCUGGACACGGGUCCGGUGAGUGCAUCUGCGUCAGUAAACCCAGGCGAAGUUAUGGCGCCAGAAGACCAUGACCCAGGGCGUGAUAGUGUGAUUACAUCAGUAAACCCAGGCGAAGUCGUGGCGCCAGAAGACUAUGACGUAAGGCAUGACGAUGUGAUCGCGCUCGAGAACGGCGAAGACGUGGCACCAGAAGUCCAUGACACAAGGCAUGACUGUGUGUUCGCGCUAGAUUCAGGCGAUGAAGUGGCGUCAAAAGUCCAUGACACAAUGCGUGAUGGUGUGGUCGCGCUAGAAAACGGCGAAGAUGUGUCGCCAGAAGAACAUGACGCGGGGCGUGAUGAAGCGAUCACCCCAGAAGAACGCAACAUGCGGCGAGCUGCACUCGGACCAGAUGAAUUUGGCGCAUACGUGAUUUUGGAUAGUGCAACGACGAGUUGCGCGGAUGGGUCUAGUGGCGUUGUGAAGGUGGCAACGAGCGGUGUCGCGUCACACGCCAGUUCACCAGCUCCAUCGGCUGCGUUGCAGGAGCCGGGCGAGAGUGCUUCGCUCGAUGACUCAGUGAGCACGUGUGCGAGCCAGGUUGCUGGCACUGCAGGCGGCAGCCCAGCGGCAACUGAAAGCAGCAGUAGCAGCAACAUGUACGUGGCUGGUGCUGCCUUGCCGGAUAGCGCGUGCAGCCCAACAAACGGGCUGGAUGAGACUGGCCACUAUAUGCCUCAUGCACACAAGCCAGGGAACCAACCACCACGUGGUGGUGAUGGUCUACGAGACAAAGCAGGGAAGCAAAGCCCGGAAAAUUUGCAAGGCGCAGAAAAUUGUGCAGAAGGCAGUUCACCACCAUGCGGAGGACCGAACAAUGCCGAAAAAGGUGACGGGCAGCAGCGAUGGAGUCCAGUAAACAGCAGGCUUGGAAGCCAGGUAAAAGAAGCAAAAUCGCCAGCAACGGUAACUUUGGCAAGUUUAGAUUCUCCAAUAGCACACGAACGACGCGUGUUGGAUCUAUCUCUAGAAGCAGGGCUUCAGAUAAAUUCGGUGAAGAUGAAAAGUAAAGGGCAACGAAGUUUGCACAUCGAGGAACCGGAAUUUUUUUAA
Molecule: ribosomal RNA, 1419 nt
Filed under: Triticum aestivum (bread wheat)
Lineage: Eukaryota; Viridiplantae; Streptophyta; Magnoliopsida; Poales; Poaceae
Description: partial small subunit ribosomal RNA
Source: RNAcentral